RNAcentral lists this ribosomal RNA (546 nucleotides) under bacterium enrichment culture SBR_W_B07. RNAcentral describes it as "bacterial SSU rRNA". It matches the Rfam family "Bacterial small subunit ribosomal RNA", at positions 338 to 876 of the family's 1533-position model. The record is from RNAcentral.
CCUACGGGAGGCAGCAGUGGGGAAUUUUGGACAAUGGGCGCAAGCCUGAUCCAGCCAUGCCGCGUGAGUGAAGAAGGCCUUCGGGUUGUAAAGCUCUUUCGGCGGGGAAGAAAUUGCUUGGGUUAAUACCCGGUGUAGAUGACGGUACCCGCAUAAGAAGCACCGGCUAACUACGUGCCAGCAGCCGCGGUAAUACGUAGGGUGCGAGCGUUAAUCGGAAUUACUGGGCGUAAAGCGUGCGCAGGCGGUUUUGUAAGUCAGAUGUGAAAUCCCCGGGCUCAACCUGGGAACUGCAUUUGUGACUGCAAGGCUAGAGUUUGGCAGAGGGGGGUGGAAUUCCACGUGUAGCAGUGAAAUGCGUAGAGAUGUGGAGGAACACCAAUGGCGAAGGCAGCCCCCUGGGUCAAUACUGACGCUCAUGCACGAAAGCGUGGGGAGCAAACAGGAUUAGAUACCCUGGUAGUCCACGCCCUAAACGAUGUCAACUAGGUGUUGGGAGGGUUAAACCUUUUAGUACCGUAGCUAACGCGUGAAGUGACCGCCUGG